AGAGUUUGAUCAUGGCUCAGGACGAACGCUGGCGGCGUGCUUAACACAUGCAAGUCGAACGGUGAACUCCGCUUGCGGGGGGAUCAGUGGCGAACGGGUGAGUAACACGUGGGCAACCUGCCCUCAGCUCUGGGAUAACUCCAAGAAAUUGGGGCUAAUACCGGAUAUGACUGCUGACCGCAUGGUCUGGUGGUGGAAAGAUUUAUCGGCUGAGGAUGGGCCCGCGGCCUAUCAGCUUGUUGGUGGGGUAGUGGCCUACCAAGGCGACGACGGGUAGCCGGCCUGAGAGGGUGACCGGCCACACUGGGACUGAGACACGGCCCAGACUCCUACGGGAGGCAGCAGUGGGGAAUAUUGCGCAAUGGGCGAAAGCCUGACGCAGCGACGCCGCGUGGGGGAUGACGGCCUUCGGGUUGUAAACCUCUUUCAGCAGGGACGAAGCGAAAGUGACGGUACCUGCAGAAGAAGCACCGGCCAACUACGUGCCAGCAGCCGCGGUAAUACGUAGGGUGCAAGCGUUGUCCGGAAUUAUUGGGCGUAAAGAGCUCGUAGGCGGUUUGUUGCGUCGGCUGUGAAAACCUGAGGCUCAACCUCAGGCCUGCAGUCGAUACGAGCAGACUAGAGUGUUGCAGGGGAGACUGGAAUUCCUGGUGUAGCGGUGAAAUGCGCAGAUAUCAGGAGGAACACCGGUGGCGAAGGCGGGUCUCUGGGCAACAACUGACGCUGAGGAGCGAAAGCGUGGGGAGCGAACAGGAUUAGAUACCCUAGUAGUCC
This 774-nucleotide ribosomal RNA is filed under the name uncultured bacterium. RNAcentral describes it as "bacterial SSU rRNA". It matches the Rfam family "Bacterial small subunit ribosomal RNA", at positions 8 to 796 of the family's 1533-position model. The record is from RNAcentral.